GACGGAGAUGUCAGACGGAGACAGAUACUUUUAUCUCUACUGUGUUCUCAAUGCGACAUAAUAAGAACGACCUAUUAGCGGCCUUCGAGAUCUUCGCUGACGUUAUCCGACCACCGCGGCGUAUCCUUACCAGCCUUAUCAUCUUUGGACCCGAGAAGACACCGAUACAUUUCUAUCUUCUGCGUAGCUUCGUCUAUCAGUUCAGGCUCGUAGUUAAACUCGUCUGGCAUAACAAUGUGAAAUUAUGAAACGCAAUGUAUAUUUUAGAAGACUGUUGAAUUUCUACAUUGUUUGAGAAAAAGGAUAUAACUGGAGAUUUUUACGAAGAAAAACACAUGUAAAAAACUUUCAGCAACAGACAGGGUGACUCACCGAGUUUAUCGUUUGACACGACCUUGCUAACGAGACCACAUUCGUAGGCUUCUCUACCGGAAAUAGGGAACCCCGUGAAGAGCAUGUACGACGCAUUUUUCCUCGGCACGUUGCGUACUAACGGUAUGCCCGGUGUCGAGCAAAAUAUUCCGAGAUUCGCC
Harpegnathos saltator (Jerdon's jumping ant) is the source of this 533-nucleotide long non-coding RNA. RefSeq lists it as uncharacterized. The transcript has 3 exons. The record is from RefSeq and is a predicted model, not a curated record. Lineage: Eukaryota; Metazoa; Arthropoda; Insecta; Hymenoptera; Formicidae.